UCUCCGUUGGUGAACCAGCGGAGGGAUCAUUACUGGAAUCGCAAGAUCCCACAACCCCUGUGUACCUACCGAAACGUUGCCUCGGCGGGGGCCCGGCCCGGCGCCCCGCGCUGAGCCCGCCGGCGGCCCCCUACUCUCGUCUCUGCAACGUGGCAUCUCGGAUUCCCAGAAAACAAGUAAAAACUUUCAACAACGGAUCUCUUGGCUCUA
This 210-nucleotide unclassified non-coding RNA is filed under the name plant metagenome. RNAcentral describes it as "partial contains small subunit ribosomal RNA, internal transcribed spacer 1, and 5.8S ribosomal RNA". The record is from RNAcentral.